UGGCGAGUAGCUCAGUCGGUAGAGCAGCGGGCCGUUAACCCGUGUGUCGCAGGUUCAAAUCCUGCCUUGCCAGCCA
RNAcentral lists this transfer RNA (76 nucleotides) under Stenotrophomonas maltophilia. Its description in RNAcentral is "tRNA-Asn". It matches the Rfam family "tRNA". Rfam says of the family: Transfer RNA (tRNA) molecules are approximately 80 nucleotides in length. Their secondary structure includes four short double-helical elements and three loops (D, anti-codon, and T loops). Lineage: Bacteria; Pseudomonadati; Pseudomonadota; Gammaproteobacteria; Lysobacterales; Lysobacteraceae. The record is from RNAcentral.